RNAcentral lists this unclassified non-coding RNA (339 nucleotides) under plant metagenome. RNAcentral's name for it is "partial contains 5.8S ribosomal RNA, internal transcribed spacer 2, and large subunit ribosomal RNA". The record is from RNAcentral.
CUGGCGCUGGAGACGUUCGCGACGGACAACGCGUCGUUCAGCUACGCCGGCCUCGACGGCGCGACGGAGAGCACGCCGGCGAUCCAGGCCGAGGGGUUCCGGCCUUCGGACUGGGUGAGCCUGUCGGUGUCGGCGACGGACACGUCGUACUGCAUCGAGGGCCAGAACCAGUUCGUGCCGGGCAAGACGUUCGUCUACCGCAGCGACAACGGCAUCGUGCAGAUCGGGCUGAACGGCCUGGUGUCGUGCUAGCACGACAGGGCUAAGCCCGUCGCCCGCAUUCGUUCGCCCGUCCGGCUCAAGCGAGUGCCGGUUCCGUGCCGAUAAGCCAGCGUGAGG